Molecule: small RNA, 510 nt
Filed under: Histoplasma capsulatum var. duboisii H88
Lineage: Eukaryota; Fungi; Ascomycota; Eurotiomycetes; Onygenales; Ajellomycetaceae
Description: Histoplasma capsulatum H88 hypothetical RNA
Source: RNAcentral
GAACAUCUCCAUGCAGAUAUUUUGCAAGGACCUUCCUACUGUUACAAUGGAGAACGAUGGCUCAUACAUUUUGUAUGUGAUUAUCUUCAUUUCCACAUUGCAGUCACAGCCAUUUGAAAAUCCGAUAUUAGAAAAGCAUUGAACAAAGUUUUAAGGUGGAUUAAACAUCAAUUUGAUUGUGAAACAAAGAUCAUAUGAAUCGACAAUGAGAAGACAAUAAAGGAAUCUGAUAUCUUUAAGGAUUGGGUAACUGAAUUAGGCCUUGAUAUUGAAUACUCUUUGGAAUAUAUCCAUGAGCAGAACGGUGCUGCAGAACGGGCAGGUGCUAUAAUCACCUCUACAGCAAGCGAAUCCUUACUGCCCCAAUCACUGUUCCCUGAGAUAGCAAUCACUGCUGUUUACUUGCUGAAUAGGACCUCUACCAAGAUGUUAGAAUGGAAAUCGCCUCUCUGAGCACUAGAAGAAUAUCUUCAUAUCGAACACCACUCUUGUGCUCACUUACAUGCCUAC